AUUGAACGCUGGCGGAAUGCUUUACACAUGCAAGUCGAACGGUAGAGGGGGCAACCCCCUUGAGAGUGGCGAACGGGUGAGUAAUAUAUCGGAACGUGCCCAGUCGUGGGGAUAACGUAGCGAAAGUUACGCUAAUACCGCAUACGAUCUAAGGAUGAAAGCGGGGGAUCGCAAGACCUCGCGCGAUUGGAGCGGCCGAUAUCAGAUUAGGUAGUUGGUGAGGUAAAGGCUCACCAAGCCGACGAUCUGUAGCUGGUCUGAGAGGACGACCAGCCACACUGGGACUGAGACACGGUCCAGACUCCUACGGGAGGCAGGCAGUGGGGAAUAUUGGGACAAUGGGCGAAAGGCCUGAUCCAGCCAUGCCGCGUGUGUGAGGAAGGUCUUCGGAUUGUAAAGC
Molecule: ribosomal RNA, 400 nt
Filed under: uncultured bacterium
Lineage: Bacteria
Description: bacterial SSU rRNA
Rfam family: Bacterial small subunit ribosomal RNA
Source: RNAcentral